CCGUACGCCCCCACCACGCGCCGCACACAAUACAGGCCUGCGCAGCUGUGUGUUCUGCACGCAGCAUGGCAGCGGUCUCCGGCUCCGGCAACGACGACGGCAAGUGAUCUUCUUCCCUCUUUAUUAACUGUUGCAGCUAUAUCUAAUGGGUAUGGGUACCCGUCACCCGUGCGGGUGUGGGUAUGGGUGAAUUUUUCACCUGUGAGCGGGUGUGGGUAUUGGAGCGGGCAUAUUUCAUUUUAAUGGGUGUGGGUAUGGUGUCGGUGAAUCCAAUGGGUACGCACCGUUGCCAUCGCUAGUCUCAAAUCUGUAAAGAAGAUUAGAGUAGGAAUUAACGCGUAUAUGUAUAGUAUCAGCGUUCCAAUUAGACAGCAACUCUUUUUUUUUUUUUGGCUUCAAAUUCUACUAAACGCAACCUAUGUAGGAGUAGCACAUGCACCUCCAGCUUACUUUGGUUGCACACACAUGCGAAUCGCCUUCCCGAAGUUAAGUUGAGUGUGUUAUUCAAACCAGCUGCAAUUAUGGUCAGUCUACGCAGUCUCUAGUCUCACAGGUCCUCUUUCUUUAAUAUGAAACGGAUAGAACUGAAUUAGAGCAGGUAUAAUAGCAGGCUGUAAGCCAGCUGCAAACAUAUUUUAAGGAGAUAAUGAGAAAAUAGAAGGAUAAUGGGCUACAGAUUUGUAGCCAGCUGUAGCACGGACUUUAAGACGUAGUGUGCGUAUGACAGGUGGGACCAUUUAUUAAUAGUAUAGUAUGUAAGUAUUGUAUGAAUAAACUAUUAGAUUGGCUAUAGAUAAAUUGAAGUUAGUAGUGGGCUAUACUAUUGAACUUGCUCUUAGGGUGUACGUGAUUUAGAAGCAAACAUCUCGUCAGACUUUCUUGCCUGCACACGAUUUAGGGAUUGUUUAGUUUAAGUCAAAAUUGAAAGUUUAAUUGAAAUUGGAACGAUGUGAUGAAAAAGUUGGAAGUUUAUGUGUAUAAAAAAGUUCUGAUGUGAUGUAAAAGUUAGAAGUUUAAAGAAAAAAUUAAGAACUAAACCAGGCCUCAUUCCUUCUCUCUGUUUGUUUUGUUCUGGGGCUAUGAAGAAACAGAAGAAAGUUUCUUGCGGCGCCACCUCAACGAAUAUCCUUGUUCGCCCAAGGCCUGGAGUUGGACUGAACAAUUCUCUGGAUAACCUCAACAAGACCGAUUCGUUUGUCAUCAUACUACAGUAUCAUUAGGAUCAGGGUUUUCAAUAUCUGAAGAUAGCCCUUGACAUGUUCAGCUGAUUGCCUGAAACUGACAGGUAAUUGGUACUUCUAGAUGAUUUUAUUUCAGCUUUUGAGCCGGGAUAUCUACCUG
Molecule: long non-coding RNA, 1341 nt
Filed under: Oryza sativa (Asian cultivated rice)
Lineage: Eukaryota; Viridiplantae; Streptophyta; Magnoliopsida; Poales; Poaceae
Description: long non-coding RNA (OSAT_LNC000467)
Source: RNAcentral